UUUAAGAGUUUAUACUUUGUUUUUCAUUGUUCGUGUAAUGCUAGCACAUGCUAACCACUGUUAGCUGCAGGAGCCUCAGUGAUGCUAACGUAGUUAUUGUUUGUUAAAUGUUUGUUAAAUGUUAAAAGAUGAACAUGAAACUUAUAAGGUGAAGUUAAUUUAUUAACCAGCUGGUGCAGAUGUCUCCAUAUUCUCCCCUGCUGAUAUUUUUAUAGAGAUUCACACAAAGUUUAUUAUAAGUUUAUACCGAGAAUCACCAAGCUUCGUGCCGGAGGGGGGGGUAACUCCGUUACUGUUGUGGGUUUUGUGUCGGGGGUAAUUGGCUUUACGUUGGUCUGUAUUUAGUUAAAGUGCUCAGUCAGUAAUGUGUUUGUGUCGCUGUUAGAAAGAGCAGAAAACCUGUGAACAAACUGUAGCUGCUCAUCAGCUGCUAGCGCGCUGAGCUGCAUAGAACCGGUAAGAUAUGGAAUUAGAUUUGUGCCAAAAGAAACAAACAAAAAUAGGAAUUUGAGAGAACAUAAAACUAAUUUAAAAAAUAAAACUUAUAACUUGCAAUCAAAUAAUUUGUCAAAUAGUGUAAAAUAUUGACGUUAUUUUGUUUACGGUUCCCUCUGCUUCUCUCUCUAAGCUCAGACUUUUGCGCUGACUCUCGACUUUGCGGUCUCUCUGAUGCUCUCUCGUUUGCGCUCCCUGAUUUUUUGUUUGCAGUUUUGGCACAAACCUCUCGGGUGGGCGGGCUUUAUCAGCAGAGUGUCCCCAUUGGCUAAUCAGUUUUUGACUGACACAGCACAGUAGGCUCAGUGCCCUGGAAGUUACGUGUAGGUAGCUGGCGCGCUAACGGAGAAGAUAGAUAGAUAGAUAGAGAGAUAGAGAGAUAGAUAGAUACUUUAUUUAUCCCGAGGGAAAUUCAGGUAUCCAGUAGUAUACAAAAUACAAAACAUACAUUAAACAUACAUUAGACUAAAAUUAAAAUUACUAACCUUAAAAUAAAAUAGAAGAUAAAAUAUAAAGUAGUAUAUAUAUAUAUAUAUAUAUAUAUAAUAUCAAAUUAACAGUAGCUACAAUAAACAGUGCAAACAGUAGACAGUGCAAAUGGAUGUGCAUAAUACAGACAGAAAUUGUCCAUUGUCUAUUAUCUAAUUCAAUUCAAUUCAAUUUUAUUUGUAUAGCGCCAAUUCAUAACAGAAGUUAUCUCAGGACACUUUUCAAAUAGAGCAGGUCUAGACCACUCUUUAACAUUAAUUACAGAGACCCAACAGUACCACCAUGAGCAAGCACUUGGCGACAAGGGCAAGGAAAAACUGCCUGUUAAAAGGCAGAAACCUAGGACAGAUCCUCCGGCUCUAGGUGGGUGGUCGUCUGUCUCGACCAGUUGGGGUGAGAGAGAGAGAGAGAGAGAGGCAGAGAGAGAGAGAGAGCAAGAGACAGACAGACAGGUGCACAGCAACAACAGUAUUGGCAAUGGCAAUCUAGCAGGACCAUGGCAGGAGGCUCCACCAGGAUCGAUAAGAACCUGCGAGACGAGAAAGCACAAGAACUCCGGGGAAGAAGUGAAGUUAGUAACAUGCAUUAAUGGGACAUGAAUGAGUGCAGAAAGAGGGGGAGAGGAUGAGAGAAGCUCAGUGCAUCAUGGGAAAUCCCCCGAUAGUCUAGGCCUAUAGCAGCAUAACUAAGGGAUGGUUCAGGACUCACCUGAUCCAGCCCUAACUAUAAGCUUUAUCAAAGAGGAACGUCUUAAGCCUACUCUUGAAUGUGGUGAGGGUGUCUGCCUCCCGAACCACAACUGGAAGCUGGUUCCACAGGAGAGGAGCUUGGUAAAUGAAGGCUCUGGCUCCUGUUCUACUUUUAGAGACUAUAGGAACCACAAGUAGCCCAGCAUUCAGAGAACGUAGUGUUCUAGAGGGGUAAUAGGGUACUAUGAGAUCUUUAAGAUAUGAAGGGGCCUGACCAUGAAGGUCAGGAGGAGGAUUUUAAAUUCUAUUCUACAUUUUACAGGGAGCCAGUGCAGAGAAGCUAGUACAGGAGAGAUCUCCUAUCUAUUGUCCUCCCUGCCUUUACUGAGAGCUGUUGUACAAUCUGAUGGCCAGGGGGACGAAAGAGUUUUUGAAUCUAUUGGUGGAGCUGGACUGGGACAGAAGAAGAAGAAGGUGACCUGAUGAAGCUCAGGUGUUCCUGGACCCAUCAGAGGACAGAGACAGCUGCAGCAUCAGGACAGUCUGGGUAUCCAAAGGAAGACUGAUGAAGAUGAACACUGACUGCAGAGCUCCAUUACCAGCUCACACUUCAAUAUACUAGAAACCAUAAACCUUGAUGGAGAACACGAUCUGCACAGUUUACAUAAAAGUUAUAGCUUUGUUACUUACAACUUGUGUAACUGGAAUAUGAAUGAAAUAUAAAUAAAGUGUUUUACUUUUAAGAA
Dicentrarchus labrax (European seabass) is the source of this 2419-nucleotide long non-coding RNA. RefSeq lists it as uncharacterized. The transcript has 2 exons. The record is from RefSeq and is a predicted model, not a curated record. Lineage: Eukaryota; Metazoa; Chordata; Actinopteri; Moronidae.